RNAcentral lists this ribosomal RNA (497 nucleotides) under uncultured bacterium. Its description in RNAcentral is "partial 16S ribosomal RNA". It matches the Rfam family "Bacterial small subunit ribosomal RNA", at positions 28 to 507 of the family's 1533-position model. The record is from RNAcentral.
GAUGAACGCUGGCGGCGUGCCUAAUACAUGCAAGUCGAGCGAACAGAUGAGGAGCUUGCUCCUCUGACGUUAGCGGCGGACGGGUGAGUAACACGUGGAUAACCUACCUAUAAGACUGGGAUAACUUCGGGAAACCGGAGCUAAUACCGGAUAAUAUAUUGAACCGCAUGGUUCAAUAGUGAAAGACGGUUUUGCUGUCACUUAUAGAUGGAUCCGCGCCGCAUUAGCUAGUUGGUAAGGUAACGGCUUACCAAGGCAACGAUGCGUAGCCGACCUGAGAGGGUGAUCGGCCACACUGGACCUGAGACACGGUCCAGACUCCUACGGGAGGCAGCAGUAGGGAAUCUUCCGCAAUGGGCGAAAGCCUGACGGAGCAACGCCGCGUGAGUGAUGAAGGUCUUCGGAUCGUAAAACUCUGUUAUUAGGGAAGAACAAAUGUGUAAGUAACUAUGCACGUCUUGACGGUACCUAAUCAGAAAGCCACGGCUAACUACGUG